Molecule: unclassified non-coding RNA, 1731 nt
Filed under: Hevea brasiliensis (rubber tree)
Lineage: Eukaryota; Viridiplantae; Streptophyta; Magnoliopsida; Malpighiales; Euphorbiaceae
Source: RNAcentral
CGAGAAGGGUUUUAUUAUUCUCUAUACUCGAUCCCACAUACAGAGACAGAGAGUUUCGAAGAUGGCGUGGAGGCAAAUAAUCACUAACACGAGGAUAGUUUCACUCCCACAAACAAAUUCAACGCCUGGUUUCUCCAGAUUCUUCUCCAAAUCUCCAGCUUACAUCGGUAACAAUUUCUUCGCGUACACUUUCUUGAGUUUGAUUUGAUUUCCAAUCCUUUUUGGUCUCUCUAAUUGGAAAUCGAUAUUUUGUUGGGUUUUGUAGAUUGUGUAGUUUACAUUGUGAGCUUAACCGGCACAAAUAGCUGUAAAUAGCUACCUUAGGAGGUUGGGUUUUUAAUUUGUUCUCAUUUUAUUGUCUCUGUAUUUUUCUUGAAAAAUGGGAAAGUGAAGAACUGCUUCAAGAAAAAGUUUACACGUUUUGAGAGAACCAUCCUUAAAGUGGAUGUUUUACUUCAUGAUGCCUGGAAAAUUGAAUUUAUUCUGUUGCUUUUUUGCUUUUAAGCAGAAUAUUUGUUGUUUUUGAUGAAUGAGAACAUUAGAAAUGUGUGUGAGAGUGUAUUAUUGUUCUUGCAGUGAAGGUUGGAAUUCCCGAGUUUCUGAAUGGAAUAGGGAAAGGAGUUGAAGCUCAUACAGCCAAGCUUGAAUCUGAGAUUGGUGACUUCCAGAAACUUCUUGUUGCACGAACCUUGAAGCUCAAGAAGAUGGGCAUUCCUUGCCAACAUGUAAUCACUCUCCACUCUCUGCAUCCUUUAGUGUAUAUAUGGGGGUAUCUGUAUCUGUUUGGUAUAUGUCAGUUAUGGUUUAUCAUUUUUUUUUUCUUUUUAUUGAUCUGAAGUUCUCGAAAUUGGGGAAUGAGGAUUGCCAUGGUGAAUUUCAAUUAAAAAUUCUAUGUAUCGUUUGGUUCACCUUCUUAAGGAUGUUGCUUCUUACUCCAGAAAUUGUACUAUCCACAUUGCUGAUUGCAGCCAAAAUGAUUUUUGUUGUCUUCUUGUGGCCUCAGUUGAUCAUGUUGAUUGUCUAAUGCAUGUUAUCUUUUAGAUUAGUGUCAAAAUAUCUCUUAUCCAUAAGCUGCAAUGAGAAAGGUGAAUGAAAAAUAUUUCUUUCCUAAUAUUUUAUUGGAUUAAAUGAAAUUGAAUAACAAGAUUAAUGGCUCAUCUUUCCUUUGCAUAAUUACAUCGUCCACAGGUAGAGCAGCAUAGGAUCUGCAACUCUCGAGUAAUUUUCUCAUGUCAUUUGUGACUUGUGAAUUUACUUUAAUCAGAGUUGAAGAUACCAUACUUCUAGUGGUGGUUCCUAUGAGUUCAAGAUCAAGUUCUUGCCUCUACUUGCUGUUCACUUUCUUUUGUCAUAGAUGGAAGAGCAUGCAUGAAAAUUUUGUGUAGUUAUUUUGUAACAUGUAUCUGCACAUUGCAUGACAUAACUGAUUGACAUCAGAUUUGGGUUUUGCAGAGGAAGCUGAUAUUGAACUAUGCUCACAAAUAUAGGGUGGGUCUCUGGAGGCCUAGAGAUGACCUUGUGAAAGCAAAAUAGUUUUCUCGAGUUUGCUAGUUCUUUGGGGAUUAGAAGAUUUUUGUUUGCAGCAAACCAUAACUGAUUGACAUUUGUUUGUGGUUCUGUGGUUUCACAAUUGUAGUUGCAUCACUUUAUUCAAAUUUUUUGAACAUUUUUGUAUUAAUGCGUGAUAUGUUUAAUUUGUCGACUAACAUCUUAAUUUUGUCAAAAUCCAAA